RNAcentral lists this ribosomal RNA (543 nucleotides) under uncultured bacterium. Its description in RNAcentral is "partial 16S ribosomal RNA". It matches the Rfam family "Bacterial small subunit ribosomal RNA", at positions 355 to 886 of the family's 1533-position model. The record is from RNAcentral.
UGGGGAAUCUUCCGCAAUGGACGAAAGUCUGACGGAGCAACGCCGCGUGAGUGAGGAAGGUUUUCGGAUCGUAAAAACUCUGUCUUUUGGGGCGAACGUGAGUAUGGUGAACAAUCAUAGUCAGUGACGGUACCAAAGGAGGAAGCCACGGCUAACUACGUGCCAGCAGCCGCGGUAAUACGUAGGUGGCAAGCGUUGUCCGGAAUUAUUGGGCGUAAAGAGCGCGUAGGCGGGAUAGUCAGUCUGUUGUAAAAGUGCGGGGCUCAACCCCGUGAUGGCAAUGGAAACAGCUAUUCUUGAGUGCAGGAGAGGAAAGUGGAAUUCCCAGUGUAGCGGUGAAAUGCGUAGAUAUUGGGAGGAACACCAGUGGCGAAGGCGACUUUCUGGACUGUGUCUGACGCUGAGGCGCGAAGGCCAGGGGAGCGAACGGGAUUAGAUACCCCGGUAGUCCUGGCCGUAAACGAUGGGUACUAGGUGUGGGGGGUAUCGACCCCUUCCGUGCCGGAGUUAACGCAAUAAGUACCCCCGCCUGGGGAGUACGGU